GACUCUUUUAUCUUGCAUGAUUAUCUUGGCCUGGUCCUCCGCCUUUAUCUCCGAAUUUGAACCCAAAAUUUGAAAACUCGGAUUCUCCCUCAUCUCUUCGUUUACAUCUCUGAUAAAUUCAAGAUAUACAUUUUCUUUAUCAUCUUCUCUAUUCACUAUUCAUAGGCUUUCUUGCUCUAGGGUUUUAACGAGGUCUGUUUUCUUUGCAGGUAAUUGAAAUCACCAAUAUAUCGAUGGACAAACGUAACAAGAAGUAAAAAGAUUAUGUGGUUCUGUUCCAUUCCCUUCUCCACUCCGAUUUACCUCAUCCCCUUUCUUCUGUUUCAGUUCUUUCUCUUCAAUCCAACUCCUCUCCACUCUCUCUAAACCUAAUUAGUCGCAAUCACACCAACAACACCACACUAUUGCACCAGUCAUGCACUACCACCACUAUGGUCUCUCCCCAUAGAAAAUCCCUAAACAGUCGUUUCCGCCACGGGUAGGACCUACGUCGGUUACAACUCUCUCUCUCUCUCAGUUGGUCUUCUCUUCUUCAGCGAAGAAGAAUAUAUUUUAUUUCGUUUUUGGUCGAUUGUAUGUGUUUAUAUCUAUUUCUUUGGAGAUAUGAUCAUGGAUUAAUGUUCACUUGGUCUUUACAGGUCAUUGUUAUCAGGCUAAUUAUCACUAUUUAAAGGAAGCAUUUUCUGGCUUUAGGAACGUCAUUAGAGGUAACAAUUUGUAAUAGUGUGUGUAAAUGUGUAGCUAUAUGUAUGUGUAUGUGCCUGCAAAUGUGUAUAAUUGUUUAUGUAGGUAUGCAUAUGUGUCUACUCGUGUGUGUAUCUGUGUGUAGAUCAGAUUUGUGUUUCCUUUUUCUUGUCCUCUCUCCAAUCUCUAUUGUAAAAAAUCCUAUUUUGAUUUUAUUUUAAUAUGAUGCAUAUGUCUUCUUCAAGGUUUACAGGUGCAUUUUUCUUAUUCGACAUCAUUCUUAUCUUCACAAUGUGCUUGGUUCUUGGGAAUAAUUCCUACUUCUCCUAUAGUUGUUUGAAGAUAAAGGUGGUUGGCACUGUUAUAAAGCAAGUCCAGUGUGUGGAUUGAGGACCAAAUCUUGCUUCUUAAUAAUGAAAUUUUCCUUAAAAGUUAGUUGGUUUGUAUGGGUGUCCAAAAUCCGUUAUCUGAAGUUUUAGACUUCAUGGCAGUGGCACCUAGUGGUUUUGUUGUGGGAUUUCAGUAGACUUUUUUUUUGCCAAAACCCAAUUUAGUGUAAUAGUUUUUCGUUGUUUAGGGUUACAAGGAAGAGGCAUGGGAGGUGGUUGAGCAUAUGAGUCAUGAAGACAUGCAUCUGCAGGAAGUUAGUGAGAGCCAUGGUGGAAAAGAAGUAAAAACCCUUCUUAUUAUUUUAAUUUAGAUCAUACCCUAAAAACUUUAUGCAAUUUAUAGCAUGAUAUGAUAUUGGAGGCUAAUAUUGAAAAAAAUACAGGUUUCUUAAUUUGUAAUUGAUUUGGGAUUGGUUUUUGUUGGCAGUCACCGUUGGGUUUCCCUCUAUUUACUCAGAAUUUAUUUGAUUUUAGUUGUCACGGGAGGAGCAUGAUCUUUAAUGUGAUUUGUUCAUAAUUUUUAUUUUCUUAUUUUAUUAUUUGAUUAGAGCAUAUAAAAGAUCUGGUAGCAAUGAAGCAAUAUAAAAGUGUCCCAAUACAAAGGUAUGAUGCUUGCUCCUCUCACGUUUCUGUUAUUUUACUGAGAUUCCAUAUGAUAAAUUCACUUCUUUUUGUUGUACGUCUAAAAAUCUAUAGGUGGUCUUCCUGAUUUGUUAUGUAAAAGCUUCGAUUUUGAUUCUUAAAGAAAUGGCAAAUUUAUAACUGAGAUUUUGCCAGUUUCCUAGUGUCAAGACUCAGAGUCACUCUACAUAUCUGCUAAGUGAAAAAAGUUCCUCCCUUGGUGAGAGAAGACCGUUUGAUCCAAUAUUUGACGGUAUUACCACUGGUGUUGCUUUGGUGAAAUCAGUUUUCUGGUGGUUUUAUGGUGUUGCGCCUGUUUACUAAUCAAGACUUCACAACGGGAACUUUACAUACUUAUUGUGCGAAGAUAUUAGGGUUUAUUGAUUUUCUUGGUGAUUUUUGGAUUCAAUACUUUAGUUAUCUUCUUAUUUCAUGUGUUGUUGAUCAGUGAGCAAGCACUUUUGUGCUUAAGUUUGCUAAUAUUCCUUUAUGUUUAUCUGAACCAACUCUUUGUAAUGUUCACUUUUUACUGUCCUAUAAAGAUAAGAAAACAAUCACAUAAUCACA
Long non-coding RNA from Lactuca sativa (garden lettuce), 2261 nucleotides. RefSeq lists it as uncharacterized. NCBI's taxonomy places the organism in Eukaryota, Viridiplantae, Streptophyta, Magnoliopsida, Asterales, Asteraceae. The record is from RefSeq and is a predicted model, not a curated record.